UGGGGAAUAUUGGACAAUGGGCGAAAGCCUGAUCCAGCCAUGCCGCGUGUGUGAAGAAGGUCUUCGGAUUGUAAAGCACUUUAAGUUGGGAGGAAGGGCAUUUACCUAAUACGUAAGUGUUUUGACGUUACCGACAGAAUAAGCACCGGCUAACUCUGUGCCAGCAGCCGCGGUAAUACAGAGGGUGCAAGCGUUAAUCGGAAUUACUGGGCGUAAAGCGCGCGUAGGUGGUUCGUUAAGUUGGAUGUGAAAUCCCCGGGCUCAACCUGGGAACUGCAUUCAAAACUGUCGAGCUAGAGUAUGGUAGAGGGUGGUGGAAUUUCCUGUGUAGCGGUGAAAUGCGUAGAUAUAGGAAGGAACACCAGUGGCGAAGGCGACCACCUGGACUGAUACUGACACUGAGGUGCGAAAGCGUGGGGAGCAAACA
This 427-nucleotide ribosomal RNA is filed under the name uncultured Pseudomonas sp. RNAcentral's name for it is "bacterial SSU rRNA". It matches the Rfam family "Bacterial small subunit ribosomal RNA", at positions 355 to 774 of the family's 1533-position model. The record is from RNAcentral. Lineage: Bacteria; Pseudomonadati; Pseudomonadota; Gammaproteobacteria; Pseudomonadales; Pseudomonadaceae.